Molecule: ribosomal RNA, 1400 nt
Filed under: Mammaliicoccus sciuri
Lineage: Bacteria; Bacillati; Bacillota; Bacilli; Caryophanales; Staphylococcaceae
Description: bacterial SSU rRNA
Rfam family: Bacterial small subunit ribosomal RNA
Source: RNAcentral
UUGCUUCUCUGAUGUUAGCGGCGGACGGGUGAGUAACACGUGGGUAACCUACCUAUAAGACUGGGAUAACUCCGGGAAACCGGGGCUAAUACCGGAUAAUAUUUUGAACCGCAUGGUUCAAUAGUGAAAGACGGUUUCGGCUGUCACUUAUAGAUGGACCCGCGCCGUAUUAGCUAGUUGGUAAGGUAACGGCUUACCAAGGCGACGAUACGUAGCCGACCUGAGAGGGUGAUCGGCCACACUGGAACUGAGACACGGUCCAGACUCCUACGGGAGGCAGCAGUAGGGAAUCUUCCGCAAUGGGCGAAAGCCUGACGGAGCAACGCCGCGUGAGUGAUGAAGGUCUUCGGAUCGUAAAACUCUGUUGUUAGGGAAGAACAAAUUUGUUAGUAACUGAACAAGUCUUGACGGUACCUAACCAGAAAGCCACGGCUAACUACGUGCCAGCAGCCGCGGUAAUACGUAGGUGGCAAGCGUUAUCCGGAAUUAUUGGGCGUAAAGCGCGCGUAGGCGGUUUCUUAAGUCUGAUGUGAAAGCCCACGGCUCAACCGUGGAGGGUCAUUGGAAACUGGGAAACUUGAGUGCAGAAGAGGAGAGUGGAAUUCCAUGUGUAGCGGUGAAAUGCGCAGAGAUAUGGAGGAACACCAGUGGCGAAGGCGGCUCUCUGGUCUGUAACUGACGCUGAUGUGCGAAAGCGUGGGGAUCAAACAGGAUUAGAUACCCUGGUAGUCCACGCCGUAAACGAUGAGUGCUAAGUGUUAGGGGGUUUCCGCCCCUUAGUGCUGCAGCUAACGCAUUAAGCACUCCGCCUGGGGAGUACGACCGCAAGGUUGAAACUCAAAGGAAUUGACGGGGACCCGCACAAGCGGUGGAGCAUGUGGUUUAAUUCGAAGCAACGCGAAGAACCUUACCAAAUCUUGACAUCCUUUGACCGCUCUAGAGAUAGAGUCUUCCCCUUCGGGGGACAAAGUGACAGGUGGUGCAUGGUUGUCGUCAGCUCGUGUCGUGAGAUGUUGGGUUAAGUCCCGCAACGAGCGCAACCCUUAAGCUUAGUUGCCAUCAUUAAGUUGGGCACUCUAGGUUGACUGCCGGUGACAAACCGGAGGAAGGUGGGGAUGACGUCAAAUCAUCAUGCCCCUUAUGAUUUGGGCUACACACGUGCUACAAUGGAUAAUACAAAGGGCAGCGAAUCCGCGAGGCCAAGCAAAUCCCAUAAAAUUAUUCUCAGUUCGGAUUGUAGUCUGCAACUCGACUACAUGAAGCUGGAAUCGCUAGUAAUCGUAGAUCAGCAUGCUACGGUGAAUACGUUCCCGGGUCUUGUACACACCGCCCGUCACACCACGAGAGUUUGUAACACCCGAAGCCGGUGGAGUAACCUUUUAGGAGCUAGCCGUCGAAGG